UCCCAACCCAUUUUUCAUAGAAUAAUGCGAAUCAUCAUCCUCUGGAUUGUGUGCGCAGCUUGUCUGACAGAUACGAGUCAUGGAGAUUCUGUCACUCAGUCGUUGCCGUCAGCAGUGAAGACAGAAGGUGAGACAGUAACUUUCAGCUGCAAGUAUGAUACUGCAGCGGGCAACUACUUUCUAUAUUGGUACAACCAACGGCCAGACUUAAGGCCUGAGUUCAUACUGAGCAAAUACUCAAGUGGAAGCGAAGACAAAGCAGACUUUACCGAAACACGCUUCUUUAUCGAUCUUCAGACCGGCAGUAAACUCACUAGUUUGACCAUCUCACCGCUGCAACUGAGCGACUCUGCAGUUUAUUUCUGUGCCUUUCGCCGCACAGUGAUGUAA
Molecule: non-coding RNA, 390 nt
Organism: Pristis pectinata (smalltooth sawfish)
Lineage: Eukaryota; Metazoa; Chordata; Chondrichthyes; Rhinopristiformes; Pristidae
Source: the annotation of a RefSeq genome assembly